RNAcentral lists this ribosomal RNA (465 nucleotides) under uncultured bacterium. RNAcentral describes it as "bacterial SSU rRNA". It matches the Rfam family "Bacterial small subunit ribosomal RNA", at positions 328 to 793 of the family's 1533-position model. The record is from RNAcentral.
UGUCCAGACUCCUACGGGAGGCAGCAGUGGGGAAUAUUGCACAAUGGGGGGAACCCUGAUGCAGCGACGCCGCGUGGGUGAAGGAGCACCUCGGUGCGUAAAGCCCUAUCGGCAGGGAAGAAAAGCGAACAGGUUCGCCUGGACGGUACCUGACUAAGAAGCCCCGGCUAACUACGUGCCAGCAGCCGCGGGAAUACGUAGGGGGCAAGCGUUAUCCGGAUUUACUGGGUGUAAAGGGAGCGUAGACGGCGCUGCAAGUCCGGAGUGAAAGCCCAUGGCUUAACCAUGGUACUGCUCUGGAAACUGUGGAGCUUGAGUGCGGGAGGGGCAGGCGGAAUUCCUAGUGUAGCGGUGAAAUGCGUAGAUAUUAGGAGGAACACCGGUGGCGAAGGCGGCCUGCUGGACCGUAACUGACGUUGAGGCUCGAAAGCGUGGGGAGCAAACAGGAUUAGAUACCCCAGUAUG